RNAcentral lists this small RNA (28 nucleotides) under Bombyx mori (domestic silkworm). RNAcentral's name for it is "ovarian small RNA-4585". The record is from RNAcentral. Lineage: Eukaryota; Metazoa; Arthropoda; Insecta; Lepidoptera; Bombycidae.
AUAAGGCAGUGAUCAGACGAUCCAAGUG